GUACGAGAGUUUUUAACUCAAGUGGCGGACGGGUGAGUAACACGUAAGAAUUUGCCUUUAGGAGGGGGAUAACAACUGGAAACGGUUGCUAAUACCCCAUAUGCUUUCGAGUGAAAUGGGUUUCCGCCUAAAGAGAAGCUUGCGGCUGAUUAGCUUGUUGGUGAGGUAAUGGCUCACCAAGGCGACGAUCAGUAUCUGGUUUGAGAGGAUGAUCAGACACACUGGAACUGAGACACGGUCCAGACUCCUACGGGAGGCAGCAGUGGGGAAUUUUCCGCAAUGGGCGAAAGCCUGACGGAGCAAUACCGCGUGAGGGAUGACGGCCUAUGGGUUGUAAACCUCUUUUUUCAGGGAGGAAUCAAUGACGUGUACCUGAAGAAUAAGCAUCGGCUAACUCCGUGCCAGCAGCCGCGGUAAGACGGAGGAUGCAAGUGUUAUCCGGGAUCACUGGGCGUAAAGCGUCUGUAGGUGGUCAAAUAAGUCAACUGUUAAAUCUUGAGGCUCAACCUCAAAAUCGCAGUCGAAACUAUUAGACUAGAGUAUAGUAGGGGUAAAGGGAAUUUCCAGUGGAGCGGUGAAAUGCGUAGAGAUUGGAAGGAACACCGAUGGCGAAGGCACUUUACUGGGCUAUUACUAACACUCAGAGACGAAAGCUAGGGUAGCAAAUGGGAUUAGAUACCCCAGUAGUCCUAGCUGUAAACAAUGGAUACUAGAUGUUGAACAGAUCGACCUGUGCAGUAUCAAAGCUAACGCGUUAAGUAUCCCGCCUGGGAAGUAUGCUCGCAAGAGUGAAACUCAAAGGAAUU
RNAcentral lists this ribosomal RNA (806 nucleotides) under uncultured cyanobacterium. RNAcentral's name for it is "bacterial SSU rRNA". It matches the Rfam family "Bacterial small subunit ribosomal RNA", at positions 64 to 911 of the family's 1533-position model. Lineage: Bacteria; Bacillati; Cyanobacteriota. The record is from RNAcentral.